Molecule: ribosomal RNA, 524 nt
Filed under: uncultured bacterium
Lineage: Bacteria
Description: bacterial SSU rRNA
Rfam family: Bacterial small subunit ribosomal RNA
Source: RNAcentral
AUGCCGCGUGCAGGAAGACGGCCUUCUGGGUUGUAAACUGCUUUUGCCAGGGGAUAAAAAGUCCCUGCGGGGAAAAUUGAAGGUACCUGGUGAAUAAGCCACGGCUAACUACGUGCCAGCAGCCGCGGUAAUACGUAGGUGGCAAGCGUUGUCCGGAUUUAUUGGGUUUAAAGGGUGCGUAGGUUGUGUUGUAAGUCAGUGGUGAAAUCCGGCAGCUUAACUGUCGAUGUGCCAUUGAUACUGCAGCACUUGAGUACAGACGAGGUAGGCGGAAUUGACGGUGUAGCGGUGAAAUGCUUAGAUAUCGUCAAGAACACCGAUAGCGAAGGCAGCUUACUAGACUGUAACUGACACUGAUGCACGAAAGUGUGGGGAUCAAACAGGAUUAGAUACCCUGGUAGUCCACACUGUAAACGAUGAUUACUCGAUGUUGGCGAUACACAGCCAGCGUCUUAGCGAAAGCGAUAAGUAAUCCACCUGGGGAGUACGCCCGCAAGGGUGAAACUCAAAGGAAUUGACGGGGG